GACGAACGCUGGCGGCGUGCCUAAUACAUGCAAGUAGGACGCAGUUGCGAACGGGUGAGUAACGCGUAGGUAACUGCCUCUUAGAGGGGGAUAACUAUUGGAAACGAUAGCUAAUACCGCAUACUAGUAGAUGGACCUGCGUUGUAUUAGCUAGUAGGUAGGGUAAUGGCCUACCUAGGCAACGAUACAUAGCCGAACAUGGAGGGUGAUCGGCCAAGCUGGGAAUGAGACACGGCCCAGACGCCUACGGGAGGCAGCAGUAGGGAAUCGUCGGCAAUAGGGGGAACCCUGACCGAGCAACGCCGCGGGAGUGAAGAAGGUUUUCGGAUCGUAAAGCUCUGUUGGUAAGGAAGCGGUACUUAACCAGAAAGGGACGGCUAACUACGUGCCAGCAGCCGCGGUAAUAA
Molecule: ribosomal RNA, 407 nt
Filed under: uncultured bacterium
Lineage: Bacteria
Description: partial 16S ribosomal RNA
Rfam family: Bacterial small subunit ribosomal RNA
Source: RNAcentral